This 246-nucleotide long non-coding RNA is filed under the name Elaeis guineensis (African oil palm). Its description in RNAcentral is "long non-coding RNA (EGUI_LNC018745)". Lineage: Eukaryota; Viridiplantae; Streptophyta; Magnoliopsida; Arecales; Arecaceae. The record is from RNAcentral.
AUCUGAGGGCCACGGAUGCGAACGAAGAAGAUCCAAUAGUCAGGAAGGGAACUGGAGUCCUUUUGAAGGUGGGAUUUCAACACAUGAUGGAUUUUAUGCUAUAAAAAGGCCCUGAUGGCCCAUGAAGCAGAGAGGAGGCAUCGGGAAGUGGCCAGAGCACCAGAGUAGUCGACUGAAGUUGGCAGUGAGUGCCUGAGAGGCAGAGGAGCUGCAGAGACAGCCGGAGCAAUGGCUAGAGCCUCAGGU